UCAGAUUGAACGCUGGCGGCAGGCUUUUACACUUUUAAAAUUUGGGACGUGACAUAUAGCUUGCUAGAUAUGAUCAGUGCACGACGAGUGAGUAACAUUUAUGCAUCUGCCUAGUAGGGGGGGAUAGCUAGGGGAAACUAGAAUUCCUACUGCAUACAACAUACGUGGGAAAGGGGGAGCAAGCUCGUGCUAUCAGAUGAGCCUAAAUCAGAUUAGCUAGUUGAUCAGGUAAAGUCCCACCAGGUAGACGAUGGGGUAAUGGUCUGACAGGAUGAUCAGUCACACCGGAUUUGAGACACGGUCCGGACUCAUACGGGAGGCAGCAGUGGGGAAUAUCGGACAAUGGGGGCCACCGGGAUCCAGCCACAAUGGGGGCAGAAGAAGGCCUUUUGGUUGUAAAGCACUUUAAGCACGGAGGAGAGGCUAAUGGUUAAUACCCAUUAGAUUAGACGUUACCUGCAGAAUAAGCACCCGGCUAACUCUGUGCCAGCAGCCGCGGUAAUACAGAGGGUGCGAGCGUUUAUCGGAAUUACUGGGCGUAAAAAGAGUGUAGGUGGCUCAUUAAGUCACAUGUGAAAUCCCCCAGCUUUCCCCCGGAACUGCAUGUGAUACUGGUGGUGUUAGGAUAUGUGAGAGGGAAGUAGAAUUCCAGGUGGAGCGGUGAAAAUUGUAGAGAUCUGGAGGAAUACCCAGGGCGAAGCAGCUUCCUGGCAUAAUAUUGACAGUGAGAUUGGAAAGCGUGGGUAGCAAACAGGAUUAGAUACCCCGGUAGUCCACGCCGAAACGAUUAAACCAGUCGUUGGGUCCCUGAGACUUUAGUGGCGCAGUUAACGCGAUAAGCAGUCCGCCUGGAGACUCAACUGU
This 864-nucleotide ribosomal RNA is filed under the name Moraxellaceae bacterium M_Sw_oHS_07/11_6_1(2). RNAcentral describes it as "bacterial SSU rRNA". It matches the Rfam family "Bacterial small subunit ribosomal RNA", at positions 24 to 888 of the family's 1533-position model. Lineage: Bacteria; Pseudomonadati; Pseudomonadota; Gammaproteobacteria; Moraxellales; Moraxellaceae. The record is from RNAcentral.